UACGGAGGGAGCUAGCGUUGUUCGGAAUUACUGGGCGUAAAGCGCACGUAGGCGGCUUUGUAAGUUAGAGGUGAAAGCCUGGAGCUCAACUCCAGAAUUGCCUUUAAGACUGCAUCGCUUGAAUCCAGGAGAGGUGAGUGGAAUUCCGAGUGUAGAGGUGAAAUUCGUAGAUAUUCGGAAGAACACCAGUGGCGAAGGCGGCUCACUGGACUGGUAUUGACGCUGAGGUGCGAAAGCGUGGGAGCAAACAGG
RNAcentral lists this ribosomal RNA (252 nucleotides) under uncultured bacterium. RNAcentral's name for it is "partial 16S ribosomal RNA". It matches the Rfam family "Bacterial small subunit ribosomal RNA", at positions 524 to 776 of the family's 1533-position model. The record is from RNAcentral.